AACUAUAUGUUAUUAUAUAUAGCUAUUCCUGCUCAAUGAUUUUAAAUAGCCGCAGUACCCUGACUGUGCAAAGGUAGCAUAAUCAGUUGGCUUUUAAUUGGAGUCUGGCAUGAACGGAUUUCUGGAAAGUAACUGUAUCUUAUUUAUUUACGCGAAAUUAAUUUGUAAGUGAAAAUACUUACAUCUUUAGAGAGGACGAGAAGACCCUAGAAAUUUCUUUUAUUUUGUUGGGGCGACAGAAUUACAGUUAAACUAAUUUGAAUUAACGUGGCGUUAUUACAGUUCGAUUAAAUUACUCUAGGGAUAACAGCAUAAUUUAACUAGUUUGUGACCUCGAUGUUGGACUAGGACAUUAAUGGUUUAGAAGACCUUUAAUAGUGCUCUGUUCGAGCAAAUAUUUCCU
Molecule: ribosomal RNA, 403 nt
Filed under: Theba pisana
Lineage: Eukaryota; Metazoa; Mollusca; Gastropoda; Stylommatophora; Helicidae
Description: partial large subunit ribosomal RNA
Rfam family: Bacterial large subunit ribosomal RNA
Source: RNAcentral